Molecule: long non-coding RNA, 1987 nt
Filed under: Salmo salar (Atlantic salmon)
Lineage: Eukaryota; Metazoa; Chordata; Actinopteri; Salmoniformes; Salmonidae
Description: lncRNA (ENSSSAG00000112287.1)
Source: RNAcentral
AUGAAACUCAGGCUCGUGCACGAGGGGAUCCCAUGCUUUUAUUUUCUCUCUCUUUGUACGUAUACACGCUUUCCCAGUCGGAAUAUUAUCGCUUUUUUUUUAGAAAAAUGGCAUAAAAAUUGAUUUUAAACAGCGGUUGACAUGCUUCGAAGUACGGUAAUGGAAUAUUUAGAAAAUUUUUGUCACGAAAUGCGUCGUGCGCGUGACCCUUAUUUACACUUCGGAUAGUGUCUAUUUUGAACCAAACCAACAUUUGUUAUUGAAGUAGCAGUCCUGGGAGUGCAUUCUGACGAAGAACACCAAAGGGAUUCUCUGCCUCUAACCCUAUUACAGGGGCUGAGUCACUGGCUUACCGGUGCUCUUCCAUGCCAUCCCUAGGAGGGGUGCGUCACUUGAGUGGGUUGAGUCACUGACGUGGUCUUCCUGUCUGGGUUGCCCCCCCCCCCCUUGGGUUGUGCCGUGGCGGAGAUCUUUGUGGGCUAUACUCGGCCUUGUCUCAGGAUGGACCUGAGCCCUAGGACCAUGCCUCAGGACUACCUGGCAUGAUGACUCCUUGUUGUCCCCAGUCCACCUGGCCGUGCUGCUGCUCCAGUUUCAACUGUUCUGCCUGCGGCUAUGGAACCCUGACCUGUUCACUGUGAUUACUAUUAUUUGACCAUGCUGGUCAUUUAUGAACAUUUGAACAUCUUGGCCAUGUUCUGUUAUAAUCUCCACCUGGCACAGCCAGAAGAGGACUGGCCACCCCUCAUAGCCUGGUUCCUCUCUAGGUUUCUUCCUAGGUUUUGGCCUUUCUCGGGAGUUUUUUCCUAGCCACCCUGCUUCUACACCUGCAUUGUUUGCUGUUUGGGGUUUUAGGCUGGGUUUCUGUACAGCACUUUGAUAUAUCAACUGAUGUAAGAAGGGCUAUAUAAAUACAUUUGAUUUGAACUCCUAGCCAUGAGCAGUGGCAUUGUAGCCAUGGCAGUCCUUUACCUCUGUCUCUACCUGUCUCUAAUGAUGCGGACGACUGUGCUGGAAUACAGCAGGGGGGAACUGGGUCUCUCCUAACGAGGACUUUCUCAGAGAGAGGGUGGUCAGAGAUGGGAGGGCCAGGGAGGUCAAACAACACCACAGCAAGAGAGACAUUCCUCAUUCUAGCCCUCCAAACGAGCUAAUAACUGUGAUUAGCUGAUGCUACAGAAACCACUGAGGAGAGGGAGUCUUGGUGGCCCUGCUGGUUCCAUGGUGAAUGUCCUACAUCAAAUGUAAGCAGAAGAGGGGGUGUGUUAAUAGGAUUAUUGCCACAGCUGUGAUGCAGUCAAAGGAAAGAGGCGUAGCCAGAAGAAUUGACAAGUUCAAAUGGUAUACCAGUCAAUUGCUACAGACCAUACAGUGUAAAGACCUCCUGUACUCACAGAUGGAUUGUGGUAGCGACUGGCCUGCUGUUUGCUCUAUGGCCACCCCUCUGUUGUUGAGGUGGAUAGGAGUAUUUAUUGACCACCUGUCACCCCACCACUCCCCCUCAGCAGACCCCUUAAUAAACACUUCAGGGGCCCAGGGCUGGUGGUCAUGAAACCAAAGGAUUAAGACCUUGUCUUUGCCAGACACCGACCUCAGAUGAAUAGGACCAGACUGUUGAAAUGAAAUGUUUAUGGUGGUGGACAGUCUUGGUUGUAGAUUUUACUUUUCUUUCUGACAUGCGUUUGUAUUUUUUUCAUAAUCCAUUUAGACAAAUCCAUUUAGAAUUUUCAGUCUUCCCAUACAUUGUGUAACAGUUUGUUGGAGAGGGGUAGCUUUCUCACUUUACCUGUGAUGAAUCAGUCAUUUUAACAGGUAACAGCCUGGAAAAUGUUCUUGACGUACUUCGAUGUGAUUUGAUGUAUAUCCUCUCACUGAAUAGAUGUACGCAAGUAUUGCCAGUUAUUAAAUUCAUUAAUUGACUACAUUUUAAUUGCCAGUCAUGGAGAUUGAUUUCGGUACGUAUAAACUUGACUUUUCAAUAUUUGGG